This 98-nucleotide non-coding RNA is filed under the name Cereibacter sphaeroides. RNAcentral's name for it is "Rhodobacter sphaeroides TPP sequence". It matches the Rfam family "TPP riboswitch aptamer (THI element)". Rfam says of the family: Vitamin B(1) in its active form thiamin pyrophosphate (TPP) is an essential coenzyme that is synthesised by coupling of pyrimidine and thiazole moieties in bacteria. The previously detected thiamin-regulatory element, thi box was extended, resulting in a new, highly conserved RNA secondary structure, the THI element, which is widely distributed in eubacteria and also occurs in some archaea. The record is from RNAcentral. RNAcentral also lists the same sequence under 1 other name. Lineage: Bacteria; Pseudomonadati; Pseudomonadota; Alphaproteobacteria; Rhodobacterales; Paracoccaceae.
CCGGAGUGACAGGGGCGUCCGGGACCUUCCCGGGCUGAGAAGCACCCUUUGAACCUGAACCAGGUCAUGCUGGCGGAGGAAGUCGCGAUGCUGCAGGU